This is a long non-coding RNA of Passer domesticus (house sparrow), 1492 nucleotides long. RefSeq lists it as uncharacterized. The transcript has 4 exons. The record is from RefSeq and is a predicted model, not a curated record. NCBI's taxonomy places the organism in Eukaryota, Metazoa, Chordata, Aves, Passeriformes, Passeridae.
GUGAAGGUAAUCUCACCCCUAAGGAGUUACAGCUGUGCCAAUUAUCAAGCAUUAAGAACAAGCCUGCCCUUAAUAGGCCACAGCUGGAUCCAAUUAAGAGGGGUAUUGUAAAAGAGCAGGUUGGCUGGUUGAGAUGUAAGAGAGAUGGAGUUUGUUGGAUGUGCUGAGAAGAAGAAACAGCUAGUGCUGUGAGGAGCUGCCCGUGAGAAAUCGUGAAGAAGACACCUGACACUAAUGAGUUAAGUGCUCUCAGAAAUGACCGUGGUUAGAGUUUAGAGUCAACCAUGCUUCAAGUCUCAUUGUAGGUAGAGUUCGGCUGUUUCUACUGUAUGUUGUAUGCAAUGGAAAGCCAUAGCGUUGAAGUAUGGAAUUAAGUGCAGAAAUCUACUGCAAACAAACAAGAAGGCUGGAGUGGCACAGGGAAGCAAGCAUUUUUGACCUGGUUCUCUGGCUCCUGUCAACACCAGCAGGCACCUCGUGGGGCCAGUGUAAGAGAGAAAAGCUCAAUACCUCUCUGUCUUACAUCCUGUGUGUUCUGGUGACCUGUGACAGUUUAUUUGGUUUGAUGCAUAGGAAGUGAGCCACCAAAAACCGCCUGAGGAAGGCAAGAGCCCUGAUGACCACCCUCUCAUGGUGCAUGUGCACCAGUGGGAAGUCCAUAGUUAUCUGCUACCUGACCAGCUCAUUCAUAAGUUUAAUUGCAGUCCCAAAGGAAGCACGGUGGAAUGCAGUGAAGAUGAGACCAGUGCUCUGUCCUCCCCUUGUAGUGGUCUUGUUGCAGCAAAGAGAAUUACUUUCCAUAGGCAUUGUAUCAAGAAUUGUUUUCAAACUACCUAAUCCAGGAUCAAUGCCAGUAGUUAAGCCUGAAGGCAUUAUCUAACCUUCAAGGACCAUUAUUUUUUAUAGUUUGACAUUUUACCUAGAAGCUUUUAAAAUAUAAAGAAAUGUUGAGGCUAUAAAAUAACCUGGCUAUCUGUUUAGCAGCCCUCUGAUGGUAUCUCAGUGAAUUCCCCUCCCCCAAGUAUUAUUCUUCCUUCCCAAAAAUGGUUUAAUUUAAAGAGCAAAAAGCUACAACACAUCUGUUGUGUGGUAUAGUACCACAGGGAAUAAAAGAAAAUGAAAUAUGCAAAGCAUCUAAGAAAAUAAUUACUUUAAUUGAGAAAUAAUUGGAAGGAGAGAAAUUGUUCAAGUAGAAUACUUCAGGAUAAUGACUCACACUAUUUUCAUAGCAAAUUACAGAACUAAUCUUGUCAAUGUGGCAUAUUAUUUGUAUAUUUGAAUAUUUUUAUGGAUUUUAAAAUUAAAAUCUUAGAAAAUGUUCAUGUUUCUAAUCCAAACUACCUUCCAGUCUGAAUUACCUUUAAAGAAUUAAUCCUUAUAAUUUUCUUUUGCACUUCAGAAAAUCUGACUAUGAAAAAGGAAUAUGAUUCAUUGAUAAAUCUAUUUUAAAAAGCAGUUCAGCAAAAAGCACAAUAGACAUAUUUCUUGCCAA